UUAGAUACCCUAUUAUAUUAGUAAUAUCCUAAAUUAUUAAUAGAUAUAGUCUUUAAAUUUGAAGAAUUUGGCGGUGAUUUAGUCUUGUUAGAGGAACCUGUUUUUGGAUCGAUACACCACGUAAAAUUUUACUUAUUUUAUUAGUUUGUAUACCGUCAUUCCCAGAUAAUUUUUAAAGAGUUAAUUAUUAAAAUUUCUUUAAAUGAAAACUAAAUUAGAUCAAGGUGCAGCUUAUAAAUAAGUUAAAAUGGGUUACAAUAAGAUUUAUUUACAUGGAAUAAUGAUAGGAAGAUUACAUUAUGAAGGCGGAUUUAAUUGUAAUAAAAAUUUAAUAAGUUUUAAAAAUAUAAGCUCUAAAUCAUGUACAUAUCGCCCGUCGCU
This 381-nucleotide ribosomal RNA is filed under the name Cyclodius ungulatus. Its description in RNAcentral is "partial 12S ribosomal RNA". The record is from RNAcentral. Lineage: Eukaryota; Metazoa; Arthropoda; Malacostraca; Decapoda; Xanthidae.